GAUGAACGCUGGCGGCGUGCCUAAUACAUGCAAGUCGAGCGAACAGACGAGGAGCUUGCUCCUCUGACGUUAGCGGCGGACGGGUGAGUAACACGUGGAUAACCUACCUAUAAGACUGGGAUAACUUCGGGAAACCGGAGCUAAUACCGGAUAAUAUAUUGAACCGCAUGGUUCAAUAGUGAAAGACGGUUUUGCUGUCACUUAUAGAUGGAUCCGCGCCGCAUUAGCUAGUUGGUAAGGUAACGGCUUACCAAGGCAACGAUGCGUAGCCGACCUGAGAGGGUGUACGGCCACAGUGGGACUGAGACACGGUCCAGACUCCGACGGGAGGCAGCAGUAGGGAAGCUUGCGAGAUGGGCGAAAGCCUGACGGAGCAGCGCAGCGUGAGUGAUGAGGGUCUUCGGAGCGUAAAACUCUGUUAUUGGGGAAGAACAAAUGUGUAAGUAACGAUGCACGUCUUGACGGUACCUAAUCAGAAAGCCACGGCUAACUACGUG
Molecule: ribosomal RNA, 497 nt
Filed under: uncultured bacterium
Lineage: Bacteria
Description: partial 16S ribosomal RNA
Rfam family: Bacterial small subunit ribosomal RNA
Source: RNAcentral